Molecule: ribosomal RNA, 461 nt
Filed under: uncultured bacterium
Lineage: Bacteria
Description: bacterial SSU rRNA
Rfam family: Bacterial small subunit ribosomal RNA
Source: RNAcentral
UUACGGGAGGCAGCAGUCGGGAAUUUUGGGCAAUGGGCGAAAGCCUGACCCAGCAACGCCGCGUGAAGGAUGAAAUCCCUCGGGAUGUAAACUUCGCAAGAAUGGGAAGAAUUAGUAGGGGUUAAUACCCUCUAUGAUGACGGUACCAUUUGUAAGCUCCGGCUAACUCCGUGCCAGCAGCCGCGGUAAUACGGGGGGAGCAAGCGUUGUUCGGAUUUACUGGGCGUAAAGGGCGCGUAGGCGGCCAGCGCAAGUCAGUUGUGAAAUCUCCGGGCUUAACUCGGAAAGGUCAACUGAUACUGCGCGGCUAGAGUGCGGAAGGGGCAACUGGAAUUCUCGGUGUAGCGGUGAAAUGCGUAGAUAUCGAGAGGAACACCUGCGGCGAAGGCGGGUUGCUGGGCCGACACUGACGCUGAUGCGCGAAAGCCAGGGGAGCGAACGGGAUUAGAUACCCCGGUAGC